CCUACGGGGAGCAGCAGUGAGGAAUAUUGGUCAAUGGACGAGAGUCUGAACCAGCCAAGUAGCGUGAAGGAUGACUGCCCUAUGGGUUGUAAACUUCUUUUAUAUGGGAAUAAAAUGUUCCACGUGUGGGAUUUUGUAUGUACCAUAUGAAUAAGGAUCGGCUAACUCCGUGCCAGCAGCCGCGGUAAUACGGAGGAUCCGAGCGUUAUCCGGAUUUAUUGGGUUUAAAGGGAGCGUAGGUGGAUUGUUAAGUCAGUUGUGAAAGUUUGCGGCUCAACCGUAAAAUUGCAGUUGAAACUGGCAGUCUUGAGUACAGGAGAGGUGGGCGGAAUUCGUGGUGUAGCGGUGAAAUGCUUAGAUAUCACGAAGAACUCCGAUUGCGAAGGCAGUUCACUGGACUGCAACUGACACUGAGGCUCGAAAGUGUGGGUAUCAAACAGGAUUAGAUACCCUUGUAGUC
Molecule: ribosomal RNA, 460 nt
Filed under: uncultured bacterium
Lineage: Bacteria
Description: partial 16S ribosomal RNA
Rfam family: Bacterial small subunit ribosomal RNA
Source: RNAcentral